Gallus gallus (chicken) is the source of this 629-nucleotide long non-coding RNA. Lineage: Eukaryota; Metazoa; Chordata; Aves; Galliformes; Phasianidae. The record is from Ensembl.
AGGUUCCAGGGCAGAGUGGGAGGAAAACUAAUAACCAAAUUAUUAUCCCCUUGAGGUUUGUGCGGUAUUAUUUUACUGUGUGCAAUCCUGUUUUGUUUAUUAGGCUACAUAUACACCAGGGCAGCAUUUCUUGAGCUUUCUGGCACUUUGAAAGCAAGUGACGGUCUUGCAUGAUGGCAGCGUGAGAAGCAAUUAUGUGAACUCUGAAUACCAGUUGGGCAAGCUUCCCACAUUAUAAAACACGUUUCAGUUCAGAACCAGGGGGAAGAGCUGCAUCCUGCCAUCUUAACUCUGCCUUCAAAUAAGGUUACUUGCACUGUGCUCCAGGAAAACCCAUUCUGCUUAUCAUCUGCAGGAAUCCCUGGCUGAAGUUCUCUGACCUCUGUGACACAAAGAGAAAAUCAUGAUCUUCCCUCUGGAUGCUGUUGGCUGUUUCAAUUGUGCCAUACUACCUAAUUGUAACAGACCAUCAGACAUGCCUGUCUGCUGGGUCUACAGGUAUGUACAAGCAACCAGUCUAGCAUCUGUCUAGCAUCAGAGGAGCAAACAAGGUUAGACUUUGCUCAUGGAGGGAACCAUGAGAUGGGGAGAAAGGGCUGUGUUUGCCUUCAUACAAGCAGCCAGACUUC